CGGGAAUCGAGUACAAACAGGGCAGGGAGGCCUCUUGGCUUGUGGGGUGGGCGCCCCCGCCCCCCCACGUCCUAAUGGCAGCCCACCAGGCAGAGGAAGGCCCCCUGUGGUUGCAGAAAUGGCCGCUUGGCACAGUGGGGGGAGGAAAUUGAAGCUCAGAAAGCUUCCGUGAUCGCCCAAAUCCCAAGGCCUGUGCCAUCGAUUGAAGUUUGUGUCCUCCCCAAAUUUGUAUGUUGAAAAGUUAAUGACCAAUGUGAUGGCGUUGGGAGGUGGGGCCUUUGGGAGGUGAUUGGGUCAUGAGGGCAGGGUCUUCAUGAAGGGGAUUAGUGUCCUUGUGAAAGAGCGUGGAGAAAGCUCCCAGGCCCCUUCCACCAUGUGAGGACACAGCUGGAAGGCACAGGCUACGAACCAGGAAGUGUUUUCACCACGCCAAACCUGCCGGCACCUUGAUUUUGGACUUGCCAGCCUCCACGACUGUGAGAAAUAAAUGUUUGCUGUUGAUAGACUUAUAAACACCUAGUUAUAAAAGACCUAGUUCCUGGUCUUUUGUUAUAGCAGCUCAAAUGGACUAAGACACCGGUAAGAGAAGUUGCUGGGACUCAGGCUGUCUGAUACCGAAGUCUGGGCUCUCAGCCCCUAAGGGUCACACAUCCCUGAUUCUGAGGCCAGGAGUGCCCUCCUCCCAAGUCAAAGAUGGUCAUGGUCUUGAGACACCGGAGCCCACCUGGGGCUGCCAAUUGCGAUGCUUGAGAACCCUUCCUGUCAUGGCGCCGUGUACAAGCCAGGGAAUGGUUUUGCCAGUUUGGGCAAUCCCAGCUUUCUUGGUUCUAAACUAGUGAUUCUCAACCCUGGCUGCACAUUAAUGUCACCUGGGGAGCUUUGAAAAAUGCACACCACCCAGGCCACCAAGACCAGUCUCUUGGUGGGGCUGUGCAUCAGGACCUUGUUGAACUCCCUGGUGAUUCCAAGGAGCGUCCAGGCCUGAGAACCCCUCUGAAGGGAAACAGCUGGCUUUCAGGCUCCUGUUCCCUUCCACUGAGGGGCCAGGCUGGGGGCUGGGAGUGGAGGAGGGUUUGAGGCAGGGAGGGGGCAUGGGUAAGGAGGCAGUAAAAAGGGAGAGGUCGAGGCUGACAAAGAAUGUGUCGGGUGAGGGACCCUGACAGCUUAAGUAACUGGAUCAGGGUGCACACAGGGUAACUGGCAGAGCUGGAAAUCACACCACUGACAUGGUGGCAAAACCACUGGAACCUCUUGUUACUGGGGAGACCCCACGGGUAGCUCGGGUAGAGCUCCCCAAAACCUACUUCUGCAUCCAGUUCUCGUCUCAAUCCAUCCUUUCUGCUGAUUCAGCCGCAUCCACGCGCAGGGCUUCUAUCAUUGCCUGUAUCCCAAAUUUCUAUUUUCAGUGCAGACUGUUCCAUGGAGCUUCAAACCUAGACUGCAGUGACUCAUCUGACACCUCUCUUGGCUGACUCCAAGGCCCCCAGGGUUUCACAUGCCCAAGAAUAAACUCGUAAGCACCUCCACCCCCAAUUGGUCCUUCCACAGGGUCCCAAGCCCAGUGAAUGGCACCAGGAAUCGUGCUUGACUCCCCUCCCUCACUGCCCCGUGCGUCACCAGCGUUCUUGGUCUAACCUUCUAAGUACCCGUCCAUCCUGUUCUCUUCUCUCCAUCUUCAUUGCCACCCUUUUAGCCAAGCUACCAUCACCUUUGGUAAUUUCUUCUUUUUAUUUCUGGGUAAGUUAUUCUUGCUAAUGUGAUUAUUUGAUUUCUGCCUGCGUCUCCCGCCAGCUUAUACACUGGGUAAGGGCAGGGGCUAGCUUUUUGGUGACUUUUGUAUCCCCAGCACCUAGCACCUCAUCUGGG
Equus asinus (donkey) is the source of this 1866-nucleotide long non-coding RNA. The record is from Ensembl. Lineage: Eukaryota; Metazoa; Chordata; Mammalia; Perissodactyla; Equidae.